Molecule: long non-coding RNA, 1064 nt
Filed under: Olea europaea (common olive)
Lineage: Eukaryota; Viridiplantae; Streptophyta; Magnoliopsida; Lamiales; Oleaceae
Description: long non-coding RNA (OEUR_LNC002172)
Source: RNAcentral
CAAUAAAUUUCUUAACCCUAGCAUCAUCAAUAUUAUAAUUUUGAUCGAAAGACUCCCAUAAUUCAUUCAAAAUUUUUAUCAUACAAUACAAAUUGUAUAGUGAAUUAGCCAAAUUGUCUGUGGCAUAGUGGCACAAGAAAAUAUAAUAUUUUCAAGCAUGAAGUGAGCUGAAAGUCUGUGGAUCUCCAUCACCCUUUUUGAGUUUUGGACCAUCCUUAGUUGAGAACCUUGCAAGAUUCAAUGUGGUCAAAUAAAAUAGCAUCUUAUGUUGCUACCUUUAGAAAUUUAGCCCACUAUAUUUCUUUGGUAUGAUUAACCAUAAUAAAUACAGCAAGGCUAGUUGUUGAGCCAUUGUUUGGGUCGCAAUAUGAGCUGACAAUUGGGCCACGGUUCGGAUCACAACAAAAUUUGGCAAUUGAGUCACAAUCUGGAGCUCAGUACACAUCUGUAGGGGUUGAUCCAGUUGCCAUUUGUAAAACAUCAAACAACUGUUAAUUGUCUACAAUGGACAAACAUAACCUAUUCAGUUUAGAACAUGUUUAAAAUUUUAAGUAAAAAAUGUCACAUAAUAUGAUAUAUCAAAAACAUAACAAACAGAAAAUAAACAAUUGCAAGGAAAGGACAAACCACAGCUAAAUGGAAUAACGGAAUAGCAAAUUGAGGCAUAUGCAAAUAUAGUGUCCUUAAAAACACAUUUUCUCUCUCAUAGCAAGUGUUUGAAGUUUUAUUAAUCAUUUGUCUACCAUGGUACAUUGGAGAAAUCAAUAGAAUGGAGCAUUAAGUUUCUACUUCGAAAAACUGAAUUCUAUGUAAACUACACUAAGACUCGGACAAAAAGUGAGAAUUUUUGGACAGUAAGAGACGGAGAAUUUUGGACAACAGAUUUAAGUAUUUUGUUAAUUUCCAUGCGUGGAACAUAGGAAAAAUGACCUCUAUUAUUUCACCCAUUAACAAUCCAUUACAACCCGUUAAACAAUAGGAUAUUAACCACUGAAAUUUCAGGAGUUAAAGAAGAUAGAAAGGCAAUUAAAAAUAAAUAAAAUAAAUAGAAAAAAUAGAGACAA